GGUAACUGAUCUUCUGGAGAUGUUUGUCUUGAGAGGGAGAGCCCCGGGACUGGAACGUUUGGAUGGUACAGUGAACUGUUCAUAGAGGGCCAUCUUAUUCCUUGGAGGCGCUCUAGGCCAACCUUUCUCGGUGUCAUGAACAUGGAGCCUAGGGAACAUAGGUUCCAUCGUCUUCUCGUCAACCUUUCCUCUCUUCAUCGUUUCUUCUCCCAAAUUCAACCCAAAGUACGGUUACAAAGACAUGUUUUCCCUCUCAUUUCGA
This 262-nucleotide unclassified non-coding RNA is filed under the name Hevea brasiliensis (rubber tree). Lineage: Eukaryota; Viridiplantae; Streptophyta; Magnoliopsida; Malpighiales; Euphorbiaceae. The record is from RNAcentral.